This 231-nucleotide ribosomal RNA is filed under the name uncultured bacterium. Its description in RNAcentral is "partial 16S ribosomal RNA". It matches the Rfam family "Bacterial small subunit ribosomal RNA", at positions 524 to 780 of the family's 1533-position model. The record is from RNAcentral.
CACAAGGGAGACUAGUGUUAUUCAUCUUUAUUAGGUUUAAAGGGUACCUAGACGGUAUAUCAAGCCCCAAAAGGGAACGGAUAUACUAGAGUUUUAUGUGAGAGGCAAAUAUAGUACUAUUGGUGUAGAGAUAAAAUUCAUUGAUACCUCUAGGCACGGGUAACGGCGAAGGCGAUCCUCUAUGUAAAAACUGACGUUGAGGGACGAAGGCUUGGGGAGCGAAUAGGAUUA